GAGUAGCAAGGAUCUAGUCUCUCCAGGAUUGCUAUGAACUGAGAGUAGAGAAACGGUACGUACCUUGCAGGCAGAUCCCAUCAUGUAGUAGGACUUAGCAAAUGUUGAUUCCUUUGUUUUCUUGUUUUCCCACUUCUCCCCUCUGAAGAAAUAGUUGCUCCAUAGAAAAUCCUCCACAGUACUGAAAUGAGGCUGCCUCACCAUUGGGGAUAGUGAAAAGGACAAUUUCCUUUGAACACACUCAUUUUCUGAUUGAAGAGAAUACAGAGAAUGUGGAUUUUCCUGGUGCCAAGUUGUUCUUCCAUUCCUCGGCCAAGUUUCCAUUCUGAUUAACUCAAGAUUCACUUGGAACCCUUUCCUUGCUAUGGCCAUUAAUCCUAAACUGC
This 386-nucleotide long non-coding RNA is filed under the name Homo sapiens (human). RNAcentral describes it as "HSALNT0314097". The record is from RNAcentral. Lineage: Eukaryota; Metazoa; Chordata; Mammalia; Primates; Hominidae.